UGGCGAACGGGUGAGUAACACGUGGGUAACCUGCCCAUCAGAAGGGGAUAACACUUGGAAACAGGUGCUAAUACCGUAUAACACUAUUUUCCGCAUGGAAGAAAGUUGAAAGGCGCUUUUGCGUCACUGAUGGAUGGACCCGCGGUGCAUUAGCUAGUUGGUGAGGUAACGGCUCACCAAGGCAACGAUGCAUAGCCGACCUGAGAGGGUGAUCGGCCACACUGGGACUGAGACACGGCCCAGACUCCUACGGGAGGCAGCAGUAGGGAAUCUUCGGCAAUGGACGAAAGUCUGACCGAGCGACGCCGCGUGAGUGAAGAAGGUUUUCGGAUCGUAAAACUCUGUUGUUAGAGAAGAACAAGGAUGAGAGUAGAACGUUCAUCCCUUGA
RNAcentral lists this ribosomal RNA (389 nucleotides) under Enterococcus casseliflavus. Its description in RNAcentral is "bacterial SSU rRNA". It matches the Rfam family "Bacterial small subunit ribosomal RNA", at positions 96 to 472 of the family's 1533-position model. Lineage: Bacteria; Bacillati; Bacillota; Bacilli; Lactobacillales; Enterococcaceae. The record is from RNAcentral.